RNAcentral lists this ribosomal RNA (428 nucleotides) under Bacteroidota bacterium. RNAcentral's name for it is "Bacteroidetes bacterium partial 16S ribosomal RNA". It matches the Rfam family "Bacterial small subunit ribosomal RNA", at positions 355 to 776 of the family's 1533-position model. The record is from RNAcentral. Lineage: Bacteria; Pseudomonadati; Bacteroidota.
UAGGGAAUCUUCCGCAAUGGACGCAAGUCUGACGGAGCAACGCCGCGUGAGUGAAGAAGGAUUUCGGUUCGUAAAACUCUGUUGUUAGAGAAGAACAGCGCAUAGAGUAACUGUUAUGCGUGUGACGGUAUCUAACCAGAAAGCCACGGCUAACUACGUGCCAGCAGCCGCGGUAAUACGUAGGUGGCAAGCGUUGUCCGGAUUUAUUGGGCGUAAAGCGGGCGCAGGCGGAAAUGCAAGUCAGGUGUAAAAGGCAGUAGCUUAACUACUGUAAGCAUUUGAAACUGCAUAGCUUGAGAAGAGUAGAGGUAAGUGGAAUUUUUAGUGUAGCGGUGAAAUGCGUAGAUAUUAAAAAGAAUACCGGUGGCGAAGGCGACUUACUGGGCUCAUUCUGACGCUGAGGAACGAAAGCGUGGGUAGCAAACAGG